This 1235-nucleotide unclassified non-coding RNA is filed under the name Haliotis rufescens (red abalone). Its description in RNAcentral is "(S)-coclaurine N-methyltransferase-like, transcript variant X2". Lineage: Eukaryota; Metazoa; Mollusca; Gastropoda; Lepetellida; Haliotidae. The record is from RNAcentral.
CAUGCAACAAUGUCGUGGUGCAAGGGUUUAUCUUAAUGGGAGGUAACUCCAUUUAGAAGUGACUUUUGUACCAGGUCGCGGUAGACUCCGACCCCGCUGAGGAGGUGGUUGCCGAGCGUGCAGAAUGGCCAGUGAUGAUGUUUUGCGAGACGGUGUUCGAGGGAGCCUUGGCGCCUGGAUUCAGAAGCUUGAGUGUGGUGGCGAUGUUGAACGUCAAAUGUUUUUCAAGAAACGGUUCAUUGAGCGUCUCCGGAAGUCAGCGAUUGCCAUAGAAACAGACAAGGCUAAUGAACAACAUUACGAGGUCCCCACCGAAUUCUUCCUCGCGUCUUUGGGGUCACGGCUGAAGUAUAGCGGGUGCUAUUGGCCGGAGGGCGUCUCUACGCUUGACCAGGCUGAGGAAGCUUCCUUGGGUUUGUACUGUGAGCGAGCGAAGAUUGAAGAUGGACACACAGUCAUGGACUUAGGAUGUGGAUGGGGGUCCUUCGGCCUGUACGUGUGCGAGAAGUUCCCUCGCUGCAGAGUCACGUGUGUGUCCAACUCGAACACCCAGAGGGCGCUGAUCACUGCACGUGCGGAACAGAGGGGGUACCGCGACAGACUGGAGGUCAUCACAGCAGACGCCAAUGAAUUCCUGACCUCCAAGAAAUACGACAGGAUUGUUUCCAUAGAGAUGUUCGAGCACAUGAAGAACUACGGGGUUCUCUUCCAACGCGUGUCGUCGUGGCUGAAACCCUCGGGUUACCUGUUUGUCCAAGUCUUCUGUCACAGGGAGCACCCCUACGCCUUCGACACCACCCCCGGGUCGGACACAGAGUGGAUGGCCAAGAACUUCUUCUCGGGUGGCACCAUGCCGUCACGUGACCUGUUCCUCUACUUCCAGAAUGACGUCACAAUAGUCAACCAGUGGGUGGUCAAUGGAACGCAUUACGCCAAGACCCUGGAGGCGUGGCUUCAACGGACAGACGGGAAUAAGGAGCGCGUCAUGCACAUUCUCCGCCAAUCAUACGGCGAGGAUGCAGAACAGCAACUGUUCAACUGGCGAUUGUUCUACAUGUUCUGUUUAGAAGUAUUCGGAUAUAAGGGCGGGAAUGAGUGGUUCCUCACUCACGUGCUGAUGAAGAGGAAGCUACAAAGCUCUUUAUAGAACGUCUUCACAGUGAUGCUCUAUUUGAAUCGUUCCAAUGUUCCAACGUUCAAGGGGCGGUCGGGUAGCCCAGUGGUUAAAGCGUUCG